Molecule: RNA transcript, 2430 nt
Organism: Olea europaea var. sylvestris
Lineage: Eukaryota; Viridiplantae; Streptophyta; Magnoliopsida; Lamiales; Oleaceae
Gene name: mitogen-activated protein kinase 9-like
Exons: 11
Source: RefSeq, a predicted model, not a curated record
ACUGGUUGACGAUAAGAUAAGGCUCACAAUUCAAAGCACCGCGUUAUGCAUUCAUUACGAUUUUCUUGUCUUUUUGGGUCUUGCUGAAGAUGGGUUCCCUAAAUUUUAUCCAUUUUCUGUUCCCUAUUUUUGUCUUUUAUUUUAUUUAUUUAAUUUUGUGAACUUCGUAAAUUUGAGAAAUUUGAGGCACCGUCCGUGACGUUGAUGCCUGUUUCUUUCUGAGAGAAAAAAAACUAAGUCUUUAGUUAAUGGGUGCUGAGAAGGUUGACGUAUUCAAUUUGAGCUAUUGUUUAAGCUUAUUUAGACAUAUGAAAAAUUCGUUGAAUUUAUUGUCAACUCUGUCCUUUUGCACUUCGAUAGCGGUCUUUUGAAUCAUUACUCUAAUGGAGUUAUAGUUAUUUUCUGCUUCCAUCAGUUCAUUUAUGCUACCAUUCUCCUGCCAGCUUGUGUAAAGGAAUAUCUCAGAGCCAUUUCACCUUCGCAGCAAUUUUUUCGAAUGACUCAGGGCUGUGUAUCUUAAAGAGGAAAUACUGAUACUUCUGUUUUACAUGUUAGAACAUGCCUUUCAACGAAUUUUUUACCGAAUAUGGUGAAGCAAAUUUGUAUGAAAUCGAAGAGGUUGUUGGCAAGGGAAGUUAUGGUGUUGUGGCCGCUGCAGUUGAUACUCACACAGGAGAAAAGGUAGCUAUAAAAAAGAUUGACAGUGUUUUUGAGCAUGUUUCUGAAGCCACUCGCAUUCUUAGAGAAAUCAAGCUCCUUCGGUUACUUAAGCACCCAGAUAUCGUAGAAAUAAAGCACAUAAUGUUGCCUUCAUGUCGGAGAGAAUUCAAGGAUAUAUAUGUGGUUUUUGAAUUGAUGGAAACAGACCUUCAUCAUGUACUCAAGACAAAUGAUGAUCUUACUCCUGGUCAUCAUCAAUUUUUUCUGUAUCAGCUGCUUCGAGCUUUGAAAUAUAUACAUUCAGCGAAUGUGUUCCACCGGGAUUUGAAACCCAAAAACAUACUUGCUAAUGCAGACUGCAAGUUGAAGAUCUGUGAUUUUGGACUAGCUCGUGCAUCAUUUGGUGAUGCCCCAUCUGCUGUGUUCUGGACUGAUUAUGUGGCAACUCGAUGGUACCGUGCUCCUGAGCUUUGUGGUUCAUUUUUCUCCAGAUAUACUCCUGCUAUUGAUAUCUGGAGCAUAGGAUGUAUAUUUGCAGAAAUUCUCACAGGCAAACCAUUGUUUCCUGGGAAAAAUGUGGUCCACCAAUUGGAUCUCAUAACUGAACUUCUUGGUUCACCCUCUUCUGAAUGCCUGUCUAGGAUUCGAAAUGAGAAGGCACGAAGAUAUUUAAGUAGCAUGAAAAAGAAAGCACCUGUUCCUCUCUCACAAAAGUUACCAAAUGUCGAUCCAUUGGCUCUUCAUUUACUUGAACGUUUGAUAGCAUUUGAUCCCAAAGAUCGUCCAUCUGCUGAAGAGGCAUUGGCAGAUCCAUAUUUUUAUGGUUUGGCAAAUGUGGAAGAUGAACCAUUAACUCAACCAAUUUCAAAAUUUGAGUUUGAGUUUGAAAGGAGAAAUUUGACAAAAGAUGAUGUAAGAGAGCUAAUCUACAGGGAGAUCUUGGAGUAUCAUCCCCAGAUGCUCCAGGAAUACCUCCGUGGCGUGGAUCAGACUCACUUUAUGUAUCCAAGCGGACUUGAUCAAUUUAAGCAAAAAUUUGUCCAACUUGAGGGACAUUCUGGUAAAGUAGAAAGGGCUCCAAUGCGAAGGCGUUAUGCCUCCUUGCCCAGGGAACGAGUCUAUGCACCUAUCGAUGAGGACACAGAGCAGAAUAGUAAUUCUAAAAGUAAAACUGUGGUUGCUAUUCCACGCCCAUGUCUUCUUAGCCCCUCCAAAUUACCAGAGAUGAAAGGAUUAGAAGCUUCCAAUACGGCAACGGAAAAUGGACGUAGGAAAACGUGCUGCAGUGCUCGAUGCUUAUUAAGAAGUUCUAGCAUUAGUGCUUCUACAUGUGUUGGUGUAGACUGCAGGGAUUAUAAGGUAAGUAUGUCUAUUUGUUAGUUAACUUGUAUCUGUGUAGGUAGAAGCCAUAUAAUGUGAUUGAGGCAAGUAAAAUCUUGUUCUUUUUGUCUAACCUGCUAAGAAGAGAAAAUUUUGGUUUUGAUAACAGAGAGACUGAUUAAUAUUCCCCUUGUACGUUGUUGCUUCCUCUGCGGGAAUAUAAUGUGUUGAGGAGAAGAAUUCUACUUGCUUUGCCCACUUAUCUGCAUUUCCUGGAGGACAGCUUCCUGGAAGGAUGAUAAUGGGGUGAAUGCAAGGUCAAAUCUAUCUGCUUUUAUAUAUGCUAAAACUAUUGAUUUUAUAGACCCUUGUGAACAACGCUGAUUGUGUUGAUAUUUGAUUAUCUACAGAAUUGUUGUCUAUUAUGCUUAUUGCCUUUUUGUAAUAUUU